RNAcentral lists this ribosomal RNA (734 nucleotides) under Serratia marcescens. RNAcentral describes it as "bacterial SSU rRNA". It matches the Rfam family "Bacterial small subunit ribosomal RNA", at positions 798 to 1532 of the family's 1533-position model. Lineage: Bacteria; Pseudomonadati; Pseudomonadota; Gammaproteobacteria; Enterobacterales; Yersiniaceae. The record is from RNAcentral.
CGCUGUAAACGAUGUCGAUUUGGAGGUUGUGCCCUUGAGGCGUGGCUUCCGGAGCUAACGCGUUAAAUCGACCGCCUGGGGAGUACGGCCGCAAGGUUAAAACUCAAAUGAAUUGACGGGGGCCCGCACAAGCGGUGGAGCAUGUGGUUUAAUUCGAUGCAACGCGAAGAACCUUACCUACUCUUGACAUCCAGAGAACUUUCCAGAGAUGGAUUGGUGCCUUCGGGAACUCUGAGACAGGUGCUGCAUGGCUGUCGUCAGCUCGUGUUGUGAAAUGUUGGGUUAAGUCCCGCAACGAGCGCAACCCUUAUCCUUUGUUGCCAGCGGUUCGGCCGGGAACUCAAAGGAGACUGCCAGUGAUAAACUGGAGGAAGGUGGGGAUGACGUCAAGUCAUCAUGGCCCUUACGAGUAGGGCUACACACGUGCUACAAUGGCAUAUACAAAGAGAAGCGACCUCGCGAGAGCAAGCGGACCUCAUAAAGUAUGUCGUAGUCCGGAUUGGAGUCUGCAACUCGACUCCAUGAAGUCGGAAUCGCUAGUAAUCGUAGAUCAGAAUGCUACGGUGAAUACGUUCCCGGGCCUUGUACACACCGCCCGUCACACCAUGGGAGUGGGUUGCAAAAGAAGUAGGUAGCUUAACCUUCGGGAGGGCGCUUACCACUUUGUGAUUCAUGACUGGGGUGAAGUCGUAACAAGGUAACCGUAGGGGAACCUGCGGCUGGAUCACCUCCUU